This 1066-nucleotide ribosomal RNA is filed under the name Enterococcus casseliflavus. Its description in RNAcentral is "bacterial SSU rRNA". It matches the Rfam family "Bacterial small subunit ribosomal RNA", at positions 370 to 1428 of the family's 1533-position model. Lineage: Bacteria; Bacillati; Bacillota; Bacilli; Lactobacillales; Enterococcaceae. The record is from RNAcentral.
AAUGGACGAAAGUCUGACCGAGCAACGCCGCGUGAGUGAAGAAGGUUUUCGGAUCGUAAAACUCUGUUGUUAGAGAAGAACAAGGAUGAGAGUAAAAUGUUCAUCCCUUGACGGUAUCUAACCAGAAAGCCACGGCUAACUACGUGCCAGCAGCCGCGGUAAUACGUAGGUGGCAAGCGUUGUCCGGAUUUAUUGGGCGUAAAGCGAGCGCAGGCGGUUUCUUAAGUCUGAUGUGAAAGCCCCCGGCUCAACCGGGGAGGGUCAUUGGAAACUGGGAGACUUGAGUGCAGAAGAGGAGAGUGGAAUUCCAUGUGUAGCGGUGAAAUGCGUAGAUAUAUGGAGGAACACCAGUGGCGAAGGCGGCUCUCUGGUCUGUAACUGACGCUGAGGCUCGAAAGCGUGGGGAGCGAACAGGAUUAGAUACCCUGGUAGUCCACGCCGUAAACGAUGAGUGCUAAGUGUUGGAGGGUUUCCGCCCUUCAGUGCUGCAGCAAACGCAUUAAGCACUCCGCCUGGGGAGUACGACCGCAAGGUUGAAACUCAAAGGAAUUGACGGGGGCCCGCACAAGCGGUGGAGCAUGUGGUUUAAUUCGAAGCAACGCGAAGAACCUUACCAGGUCUUGACAUCCUUUGACCACUCUAGAGAUAGAGCUUCCCCUUCGGGGGCAAAGUGACAGGUGGUGCAUGGUUGUCGUCAGCUCGUGUCGUGAGAUGUUGGGUUAAGUCCCGCAACGAGCGCAACCCUUAUUGUUAGUUGCCAUCAUUUAGUUGGGCACUCUAGCGAGACUGCCGGUGACAAACCGGAGGAAGGUGGGGAUGACGUCAAAUCAUCAUGCCCCUUAUGACCUGGGCUACACACGUGCUACAAUGGGAAGUACAACGAGUUGCGAAGUCGCGAGGCUAAGCUAAUCUUUUAAAGCUUCUCUCAGUUCGGAUUGUAGGCUGCAACUCGCCUACAUGAAGCCGGAAUCGCUAGUAAUCGCGGAUCAGCACGCCGCGGUGAAUACGUUCCCGGGCCUUGUACACACCGCCCGUCACACCACGAGAGUUUGUAACACCCGAAGUC